This 23-nucleotide non-coding RNA is filed under the name Rattus norvegicus (Norway rat). The record is from RNAcentral. Lineage: Eukaryota; Metazoa; Chordata; Mammalia; Rodentia; Muridae.
UUGUUUGCAGGCUACUCUUAAUC